UGGCCACCCAUGGACCAGGAAGUGAACUCCCACCAGACAGUACAUCUGCUGGUACUUUGACCUUGGACUUCCCAAGCCUCCUGAACUAUCCUUUGCUCAAAGAGAAAAGCCAGAUGCCAUGUUGUGAGCCGUCAUAUGGAGAGACCCCUGUGAUAUCCUGGAGAGAGUAAAGAGAACAGGCUGCUGCUGAAAAGCCUGUGACCAAGAAGGAAUUUCAGGGUGCAAAGUGAUGGUGAAAUACUACUUAAUCUAAUACUCUUCUCACAAUAUACUACGUAAAAAUGAAAAUGCAAGAACUGUGAUGUGUUACCCAAAAGUCCAACCUGAUAAACCAGUAGAGGCAAAGAGACUCCAAAAUUGGAUCUUCUGGUUGGGCUGACUGACAAUGCUGAAUACUCCUGAAAUUGCCAGCUUGCUAGGUAAUAAAACUAAAAGAAUGCUGCACAUGGUCAGGCUGACCAAAAAGAUUGAUGGUGAGGAACCACAUAUGCAUGCAAGAUUCUCCAAGAUGGAGGAAGGGAAAAGAAUUGAUGUUUCGAUGUUGGUGACAAUGCCUCUGAAUUCUCCCACCGCUCUUGGGAAUGUCACACACAAAGGACCUCACACUACUACUAUGUGACAGCAACUAGAUGGUGAGCAAGUGAAAUCAGUUCAAAGCCUGGUUGGAGGAAGGCACCAUUAUUCCCCUCCUCUUGCCUUCUCUUCUGCUAAUAUCCCAAAUCCUAUACUCCAUCAAUGCAGAAGACGCUCUGUGGCAUAUGGGGCCCUGAAUGCAGAGGACAGUCUCUUUGUUCUGGAAUGAUUGUAAGGCCUCAUGCAA
Molecule: long non-coding RNA, 820 nt
Organism: Mustela erminea (ermine)
Lineage: Eukaryota; Metazoa; Chordata; Mammalia; Carnivora; Mustelidae
Exons: 8
Source: RefSeq, a predicted model, not a curated record